CCUACGGGCGGCAGCAGUGAGGAAUAUUGGUCAAUGGACGAGAGUCUGAACCAGCCAAGUAGCGUGAAGGAUGACUGCCCUAUGGGUUGUAAACUUCUUUUAUAUGGGAAUAAAACGUUCCACGUGUGGGAUUUUGUAUGUACCAUAUGUAUAAGGAUCGGCUAACUCCGUGCCAGCAGCCGCGGUAAUACGGAGGAUCCGAGCGUUAUCCGGAUUUAUUGGGUUUAAAGGGAGCGUAGGUGGAUUGUUAAGUCAGAUGUGAAAGUUUGCGGCUCAACCGUAAAAUUGCAGUUGAAACUGGCAGUCUUGAGUACAGUAGAGGUGGGCGGAAUUCGUGGUGUAGCGGUGAAAUGCUUAGAUAUCACGAAGAACUCCGAUUGCGAAGGCAGUUCACUGGACUGCAACUGACACUGAGGCUCGAAAGUGUGGGUAUCAAACAGGAUUAGAUACCCCAGUAGUC
This 460-nucleotide ribosomal RNA is filed under the name uncultured bacterium. Its description in RNAcentral is "partial 16S ribosomal RNA". It matches the Rfam family "Bacterial small subunit ribosomal RNA", at positions 338 to 795 of the family's 1533-position model. The record is from RNAcentral.